GGGAAAGGCAGCAGCCGACCUUGCAGACGGAGGCGGUAGCUCUCGGUUCCAUCAGUGCCUCCCGGGUAGCCUAACCCAGCUGUGACACCUGUGUAGCUGUAGCAAAGCAUGCCGCUGUGCUGGAGUCCGGCAGCUGAAGGGCUGAGGUUGAAGCUUCCUGGAGCGGGGCCUCAGGCAGUUUCCCCGCAAUCAACGGUCGUCAUGCAGCCUGAGGAUCUCAGGGCGACAGUCCUUGUUUGCACUAAUCAUGCUUUUUCUCUGUAUGUCUUUUCUGUGUCGGGGGGUGUUGGUGGACAGCCUCUAGGUGGACCCCUGAGAGUGGAAAUUACCUAGAGUCGCUCCCAUAUACGGGAAGCUAUGAUGAAGUUGGGAAUAGAUGAGUGAAUCAUGAAGGAAAGAAACAACUUUGGAGUGAUUUGUCUUUUAUGGAAAGGCUAGCCAGGACUAGAAAGCCUUGGUGCCUUUAUAGUAAGGAAGAAAGACAGCAGAUCAUAGAAAAUAUGAAGCCAGCCCUAAGGUAUUGGUAUAGAAGGGUAUAUGACAACUGGAAGGAUAAGUGGAUAUAUAGGAGUGAGGAAAAAAUAAAUGAAAUUAUACAAAAGUAUAUAGAGGGUGAGUUAAACCCUGGCUGGUAAAAAUCUGGUUCUCACAGAUGUGGUCUUUGGCGCGAGACAGAUUUCACAAAAUUCUGAGAUCAUGCCCUUAAGCAACAACCGCAAUGAACUCCAAGCUGUGGAAGUGAUACACAGAAAUAGAUACUGAUGUACUUUGUUAUUGUUUCUUGCAUUACACAGAAAUAGAUACUGAUGUACUUUGUUAUUGUCUCUUGCACUACACAGAAAUAGAUACUGAUGUAUUUUGUUAUUGUUUUUUGCUGAUUCUAAGUAAUUGUAAAAGUUAAAAGUCUGAUGUAACCCCCUGCCAAGUUCCUUGACUGUAAAAGAAUAUAAGCACUGAUUUUGCACAAGUAAAUCUGCAGCAGCACAUCAA
Molecule: non-coding RNA, 990 nt
Organism: Peromyscus maniculatus bairdii (prairie deer mouse)
Lineage: Eukaryota; Metazoa; Chordata; Mammalia; Rodentia; Cricetidae
Source: RefSeq, a predicted model, not a curated record